GCCUAACAUCUAGCCCACACCACCCACAUGACCUCCUUAUCUUUAUACCCAUACAACAAAACAUUUUACCUCUUUAGUACAGGCGAUCGAAAAAUUUAUAGGCGCUUCAGAUCCAGUACCGCAAGGGAAAGAUGAAAUAAAAAUGAAAUAACUUUAAAGCCCUAAACAGCAGAGAUUUACCCUCGUACCUUUUGCAUCAUGGUCUAGCUAGUCUAACCAAGCAAAAUGUGAACUUUAGUUUGACACCCCGAAACUAAGUGAGCUACUUCAAAACAGCCCUAAGGGGCCAACCCGUCUCUGUCGCAAAAGAGUGGGAAGAUUUUCAAGUAGAGGUGACAAGCCUAUCGAACUUAGAGAUAGCUGGUUAUUCAGGAAAAGAGUCUCAGCUCUACCUUAAGUUUUUUUAUUAGCUCAAACAAAUUCUUAGACUUAAGAGCUACUCAAGUAAGGCUCAGCUUACUUGAAACAGGAUACAACCUCCAACAUUGGGUAAAUAAGGGAAACCCAGACAAAGUGGGCCUAAAAGCAGCCACCUUAUAAAAAGCGUUAAAGCUUAAUCACUAAUUUACCCCUAAUUCCUUAAUUUCUUAUUAACCCCUCACCCCUACUGAAUCAUUUUAUACUAUUAUAAAAAUUAUUAUGCUAGAACUAGUAACAAGAAAUUGCCUUUCUCCUAAAUGUCCGCCAGAACCGAAAUAAACCCUAUCGGUAUUUAACGUAAAUGCCUUAAUUAUAGCAACUCCCAACCAGAAAACCCUAUUAUUCUCAACGUCAACCUUACACCAGAACAUUAUAGGAAAGAUAAAAGAAAGAGAAGAC
This 819-nucleotide ribosomal RNA is filed under the name Sanguirana sp. 'Negros-Panay'. RNAcentral describes it as "partial 16S ribosomal RNA". The stretch from base 203 to 647 matches the Rfam family "Bacterial large subunit ribosomal RNA", at positions 619 to 1301 of the family's 2925-position model. Lineage: Eukaryota; Metazoa; Chordata; Amphibia; Anura; Ranidae. The record is from RNAcentral.